UGGGGAAUCUUGGACAAUGGGGGCAACCCUGAUCCAGCCAUGCCGCGUGAGUGAUGAAGGCCUUAGGGUCGUAAAGCUCUUUCGCCUGUGAAGAUAAUGACGGUAGCAGGUAAAGAAACCCCGGCUAACUCCGUGCCAGCAGCCGCGGUAAUACGGAGGGGGUUAGCGUUGUUCGGAAUUACUGGGCGUAAAGCGCACGUAGGCGGACCAGAAAGUUGGGGGUGAAAUCCCGGGGGCUCAACCCCGGAACUGCCUCCAAAACUAUUGGUCUAGAGUUCGAGAGAGGUGAGUGGAAUUCCAAGUGUAGAGGUGAAAUUCGUAGAUAUUUGGAGGAACACCAGUGGCGAAGGCGGCUCACUGGCUCGAUACUGACGCUGAGGUGCGAAAGUGUGGGGAGCAAACAGGAUUAGAUACCCUGGUAGUCCACACCGUAAAACGAUGAAUGCCAGUCGUCGGGUAGCAU
This 463-nucleotide ribosomal RNA is filed under the name uncultured bacterium. Its description in RNAcentral is "bacterial SSU rRNA". It matches the Rfam family "Bacterial small subunit ribosomal RNA", at positions 355 to 833 of the family's 1533-position model. The record is from RNAcentral.